RNAcentral lists this ribosomal RNA (717 nucleotides) under uncultured bacterium. RNAcentral describes it as "bacterial SSU rRNA". It matches the Rfam family "Bacterial small subunit ribosomal RNA", at positions 781 to 1500 of the family's 1533-position model. The record is from RNAcentral.
GAUACCCUGGUAGUCCACACUGUAAACGAUGGAUACUAGGUGUAGGGUGUAUUAAGCACUCUGUGCCGCCGCUAACGCAUUAAGUAUCCCACCUGGGGAGUACGACCGCAAGGUUGAAACUCAAAGGAAUUGACGGGGGCCCGCACAAGCAGUGGAUUAUGUGGUUUAAUUCGAAGCAACGCGAAGAACCUUACCAGGGCUUGACAUCCAACUAACGAAGCAGAGAUGCAUUAGGUGCCCUUCGGGGAAAGUUGAGACAGGUGGUGCAUGGUUGUCGUCAGCUCGUGUCGUGAGAUGUUGGGUUAAGUCCCGCAACGAGCGCAACCCCUAUUGUUAGUUGCUACGCAAGAGCACUCUAGCGAGACUGCCGUUGACAAAACGGAGGAAGGUGGGGACGACGUCAAAUCAUCAUGCCCCUUAUGUCCUGGGCUACACACGUAAUACAAUGGCACAAAACAAAGGGAAGCAAAGCCGCGAGGCGGAGCGAAUCCCCAAAAGGCGUCUCAGUUCGGAUUGCAGGCUGCAACUCGCCUGUAUGAAGUCGGAAUUGCUAGUAAUCGUGGAUCAGCAUGCCACGGUGAAUACGUUCCCGGGCCUUGUACACACCGCCCGUCACACCACGAGAGCCGGGAACACCCGAAGUCCGUAGUCUAACCUAUAUGGAGGACGCGGCCGAAGGUGGGUUUGGUAAUUGGGGUGAAGUCGUAACAAGGUAAC